RNAcentral lists this ribosomal RNA (773 nucleotides) under uncultured Neocallimastigales. RNAcentral describes it as "partial large subunit ribosomal RNA". It matches the Rfam family "Eukaryotic large subunit ribosomal RNA", at positions 23 to 647 of the family's 3401-position model. The record is from RNAcentral. Lineage: Eukaryota; Fungi; Neocallimastigomycota; Neocallimastigomycetes; Neocallimastigales.
AUAGAGACUCAGAGCUGCAUAUCAAUAAGCGGAGGAAAAGAAACUAACAAGGAUUCCCUUAGUAACGGCGAGUGAAGCGGGAAGAGCUCAAAUUUGAAAUCUUCAAGGUUCUACCUUGACGAAUUGUAGUUUAUAGAAGUGUUUUCUGUUAGUGGAGUGGCAAAAGUUCUUUGGAAUAGGACAUCAUAGAGGGUGAGAAUCCCGUAUUUGGUCAUUCCUCCUAGCGUUGUGAUACACUUUCAACGAGUCGGAUUGUUUGGGAAUGCAGUCCAAAAUGGGUGGUAAAUUUCAUCUAAAGCUAAAUAUUGGCGAGAGACCGAUAGCGAACAAGUACCGUGAGGGAAAGAUGAAAAGAGCUUUGAAAAGAGAGUUAAACAGUACGUGAAAUUGUCAAAAGGGAAGCGUUUGACACCAGUGUUGUUUUUCCGAAAAUCAAUUACGAAUGUUUUAUUUUUGAGGAGUUAUGACUUCAUCGGCUUGCUUCUCUCUUUAUGAAACUUUCUUAAUGCACUUUUCGGUUAACAAGUCAACAUCAAUUUCUUUUGUUGUAAAAGGGUAUGAGGAAGGUGGCUUUCUUUUCGGAGAAAGUGUUUAUAGCCUUGUGCCUCUGCAAUCGGAGAGAUUGAGGUCUGCAGCGUAGAUCCUUCGGGGUUAGAUACGUUUGUGCUAAGUUAUAGCUUUUCAUAGACAACUUGUUGACUAUGUUAGUCUUGUAGCUUACUCGCUUAUGCUAUUUUACCUACGCUUAGGAUGUUGACGAGACUGUCGAUCUC